GACGAACGCUGGCGGCGUGCCUAAUACAUGCAAGUAGAACGCUGAAGAGAGGAGCUUGCUCUUCUUGGAUGAGUUGCGAACGGGUGAGUAACGCGUAGGUAACCUGCCUUGUAGCGGGGGAUAACUAUUGGAAACGAAAGCUAAUACCGCAUAACAAUGGAUGACACAUGUCAUUUAUUUGAAAGGGGCAAUUGCUCCACUACAAGAUGGACCUGCGUUGUAUUAGCUAGUAGGUGAGGUAAUGGCUCACCUAGGCGACGAUACAUAGCCGACCUGAGAGGGUGAUCGGCCACACUGGGACUGAGACACGGCCCAGACUCCUACGGGAGGCAGCAGUAGGGAAUCUUCGGCAAUGGGGGCAACCCUGACCGAGCAACGCCGCGUGAGUGAAGAAGGUUUUCGGAUCGUAAAGCUCUGUUGUAAGUCAAGAACGGGUGUGAGAGUGGAAAGUUCACACUGUGACGGUAGCUUACCAGAAAGGGACGGCUAACUACGUG
This 497-nucleotide ribosomal RNA is filed under the name uncultured bacterium. RNAcentral describes it as "partial 16S ribosomal RNA". It matches the Rfam family "Bacterial small subunit ribosomal RNA", at positions 28 to 507 of the family's 1533-position model. The record is from RNAcentral.